Long non-coding RNA from Canis lupus familiaris (dog), 993 nucleotides. RefSeq lists it as uncharacterized. The record is from RefSeq and is a predicted model, not a curated record. The transcript is spliced from 4 exons. Lineage: Eukaryota; Metazoa; Chordata; Mammalia; Carnivora; Canidae.
CCUCGGGCCGUCCCAAACCUCCGUAAUUCCCGUCUAGUUUCCGCUCUGCCUCUGACUCCCCGGCACCCUGGACAGAUCCCGGGCCUCCAAUUCCCUCCCAGCUCCCUGCCUCCCCGCUUCCCGGGGCGGUGAGCGCUCGCCGGCAGGAGCGUGUGAAAGCCCCCCCCCGCCCCCCGAGCUUGUCUGAGGCCCACAGGGUACCCCUCUGGCUAGUACUGCCGCCGGGACCCCGCUGGUUGCAGGGACCAGCCCUUCCCAAACUCUGCUGGUGCACGUGGGAUGAAAGGGUGCGGGAUUCCCAAACAGACUGAUGCCACACUCCUCGGUGAUCUCUGAGAGGUCUUCAUCCUCAAACUCCUCCAAGCUGAUGUCAUGGUGAGGCAGGAUGGCACGAGUUGCGGGUUCAAAUCCUGACUCCUUCACUGAGGAGGAGCGGCCUCUCCAUCUCCUAAGCAGCUGCCUCGCCCCGGCCGCCAACCUCUCCAUGCUCUGCAUCUCCUUCAAUCCUCACUACAAUCUGGCGAGACGGUCUUGUUUUGCCCAUUUUCCAGAUGAGGAACCCUAAGGCUCAGACGGCAGCUGCCAUGGGCCCACCUGUGCCCCGAGACUGGAGCCCUGAGCACCGGGAGGCCACCUCAAGCUGAGUCACGCCGCCUGUGCAGGUCGGCAUCCCUGACCUCCAGAUCGGGAGGCCUCAGCGGCUUCGCCUUCAGAGGCAGCCUGUCCGUCCGUCAGACCUGCCUGCCCGCUCGGGUCUCAUCCGUGUUAACAUUUGGUGGCUCUGUGUCGUGUGUCUACUCUCCUGAGACCUCCCUCACCUUUGGGGUCUAUUUGAGACCCCCUCUCCCUGCAUGAACCUUCGGGAGCCCCAGUCCUUCCUUCUGGCCAGGCUGGCUCCUCCCGGCGCUCUGAACACGCUGCCCCCGCCCACCGCCCCGUGCUCCCCACCUCUUCCUGCCACGAGCUCUCCAAAAUAAAUACGCCUUCAUGCUC